RNAcentral lists this long non-coding RNA (376 nucleotides) under Daucus carota (carrot). RNAcentral's name for it is "long non-coding RNA (DCAR_LNC001885)". Lineage: Eukaryota; Viridiplantae; Streptophyta; Magnoliopsida; Apiales; Apiaceae. The record is from RNAcentral.
GAUGAUUUUAUUCUCAUAUUUAAUUGUAUUUUGCAUUGAUUUGGAUAUUUAUUUAAUAGAUUUUAAUGUUUUAUUGUAGAGUGCAAGGAAUUCCUAAAGUUGGAAGGAUUUGAAGAAAUAAAGCUCAAUUGGACUCAAAUUUGGAUGGAAAUUCAGAUUUAUUGGGCUACACGUAUUAUUUCGCUGUUUGGGCCAUAUCGGGAGUUCCGUACAUCAGAUUUUGACGAUCUUACAGCCCACGCGAAGCUUAGAGAAUUUUCUUUAAUUCAGAGAUGGUCCAAUAUCCAAAAUCCAACUGGAAAAGCCCAGAAACUGUGGAGAAAGCAGACCUGCGAAUUUUAAUAACGGACUCCUAUUCGGUUUCGGAGAUUGCCUU